AUGCGACAGAAGCAUGCGGCAGCGGCGGCGGCGGCGGCGGCGGCGGCGUGCCGCGGCGGCAUGCGACAGAAGCAUGCGGCAGCGGCGGCGGCGGCGUGCUACGGAGGUGUGCUGCGGUGGUGUGCGGCGGGGCAGAGGCGUGCGACGAAGGCGGGCGGCGGCGGCGAUGAGGGCGGUGGCGGCUGGCCAGAGGUGCAGGGCGGCUGCGUGGCAGGCCUGAUGUCCCCGGGCGCUCGGCCCCGCACCCACUGCGGCUACUGCUUCGGAGCCGGAGAGCCGGCACUGACGCAGUCUGGGCCGGGAACGCAGCGCUCGCAGCCAUGGUCUCUGGAGCCUCGGUUAAGCGGGCGCAGGGCGCAGCGGUUGGGCAGCCCCGGGCCCCGCCCCCAGCGCUUGGCUGACGAGCUGCCCCCUCGUCUCUUCCCACAGAGGCGGACACUCCACAGAGGCUGCUGCGCACCUUCCAGAAGGAGGAAUCAGAACUUCCAUUUCCUGGGGGCUACUCUGUGCCGUACCCUGUGUGUACAGGUAACUUUCUGAGGUGAGUGCGAUUGUCCCCACUUUACAGACAGAGAACCCGAGCUUGGAGGGGAGGCGUGAGUUGCUCAAGAGCACACAGCUGACAGGGUGCGGAGCCAGGAACUUCACCCCCAGGUCUGUCUAACAUCAGAGCCAGGCUUUUACCUGUCAUAACCCAAACGUGUCCAUCCACGUCUACGCAGCACUGCAAUGUCGGCAUGUGUGGUGCCAUGAUUUUCAUUGCACGGAUCGCCUCCACUGUUGUCAACAUGUUGCACAACAGUGGUCCAUUUUUAGUAGUAUAUAUUUUUCAGUUCCUUUGUUUAGUUUUGAGUGAGAGAGCAUGCAUGUGUGUCAGCAGCAAAGGGGCAGAGAGAGAGGGGAGAAAGAAUCCUGUGCUGUCAGCACAGAGCCUGAUGUAGGACUUGAUCCCAUGAACUGUGAGGUCAUGACCUCAGCUCAGAUCCAGACUUGGACGCUGAACCAACUGAGCCACCCAGGCACCCUGACAACAAUGGUGCAUUUUAUACGGACACUAACUCAUCAUUUUCAGGAAAAGUUUCUAAUUUGCAUUAGUGUUCAGCCUUGGUGCUAUAUGUUCUAUGAGUUUUAACAAAUGUGUAAUGAUGUGAAUCCACCUUUGUGGUAUCGUGUCAAAGAGAUUCAUUGCCUUAAAAGUCCUCUGUGCUGUGCCCCUUUAUCCCUACAUUCAUCCCAACCCUUACCUCCAUAGUCUUGCUCUUUCCAGAGUGUCAUAUAGUUAGAAUCAUACAGUGGAUAUGUUUGAAUGUUUAGAAAAUUAAAUUCCCUUGUAAUUGAAUGUAAGCAUUCAAGGUAUUGUUUAGUUUUGUUGCUCAUCAGUGGAGGAUCUGAUGAUAUAUGCCUUCCAUGAAAAAAAGCAUGAUUUCUUUAGAUGUGUGUCACCUAAUGGGGACAUCAUGAACCACUACAUAGCACUCACAUUGGGAUCAUGCUCCUGUGUGAUGUGCGGUGGGUCUAGAUAGACUCUCUAGCAAUGGAAGGAGACAGUCUCAAGAGGUUAGAACUUUAUCAAACUGGAAUGCCAAAUCCUUCUUCCUUAACUUCCCAUUGGAAAUAAGGCCAGGGAGAGUCUGUUUGCUAUGGUUUGGCAAUGCUGCAAAGUACAAUAGCUAUAGAGCACACUUUGUGAGGGGGUGUUUCGUCCUAAAACUGAACAGUGUAUACUGAAGGGCUGGGGAAGUUCUGUUAUCAGCUGUUAUCAGAGAUAAUUUUUUUUUAUCUGAAUGCUAUAUCUGUAUGGUAGGGCAAACACCUAAUUACCAAAAACCUGCUCUCCUUAUUGUGCUGUGAAUCACCUCCUCCCCUCUGAAGCCCCAGGCUCCUAUCCCAUUCCUUAGCUCAGGAUGGUCUAUGCGCAGCAACUCCUCAGCUUGCCCCUGAGUAUCAUAUUUUCAGGGUGCUCCUCAUACAUAUGUAAUUAAAUUUGUUUUUUCCUGCUUAUCUGUCAUAUGGUAAUUUAAUUAUUAGACCAGCCAAAUAAUGUUGAAGGGAAGAAGGAAAUUUUUUUCCUCCCCAAUAAUAUGUUCUUAUGAAAUAUUACAGGAAAAGAAUAAUAUCUCAAAAGCCUUUAAAGGAGAAAAAUAAUUAUCAGCAAAGGAGCAGAACCUGAUUUGUAUUAGAUUUUAUUAUAGCAAUACUGGAUACAAGAAGUCAAUAAAGCAAAUUUCCAAAGUAGCCA
Molecule: long non-coding RNA, 2239 nt
Filed under: Felis catus (domestic cat)
Lineage: Eukaryota; Metazoa; Chordata; Mammalia; Carnivora; Felidae
Description: lncRNA (ENSFCAG00000051565.1)
Source: RNAcentral